AUGUGGCUGGAAGAGGCUUGGGAAAAAAAGCCCAAAAAAGCCCCCAAAAGCCUCAAAAAGGUCCCCAAAAAGACCCAAAAACGUCCCCCAAAAAAGCCCCCAAAAAAGUCCCAAAAAAGCCUCCCAAAAGUCAGCAAAAAGUCCCCAAAAAAACCCCAAAAAACCCCCAAAAAGUCCCCAAAAGCCCCAAAAAGCCCAAAAAAGUUCCCAAAUCCCCAAAAGCCCCCAAAAAGCCCCAAAAAAGUCAGCAAAAAGCCCCCAAAAAAGUCAGCAAAAGCCCCAAAAAAGUUCCCAAAUCCCCAAAAGCCCCAAAAAAGCCCCAAAAAGCCUCCCAAAAAGCCCCAAAAAAGUCAGCAAAAAGCCCCCCAAAAAAGCCCCCAAAAAGCCCCAAAAAAGUCCCCAAAAGCCCCAAAAAGCCGAAAAAAAGUUCCCAAACCCCCAAAAAGCCCCCAAAAAAGCCCCAAAAAAGCCCCCAAAAGCCCCAAAAAAGUUCCCAAAUCCCCAAAAGCCGCAAAAAAGCCCCAAAAAAGUCCCCAAAAAGCCCCCCAAAAAGCCCCAAAAAAGUCACCAAAAAGCCCCCCAAAAGCCCCAAAAACAGCCCCCAAAAAGCCCCAAAAGUCCCCCAAAAAGCCCCGAAAAAGCCCCACAAAAAGCCCUCCAAAAAAACCCCAAAAAGCCCCCCAAAAAGCCCCAAAAAAGUCAGCAAAAAGCCCCAAAAAGCCCAAAAAAGUUCCCAAAUCCCCAAAAGCCCCAAAAAAGCCCCAAAAAAGUCCUCAAAAAGCCCCCCAAAAAGCCCCAAAAAAAGCCCAAAAAAACCCCAAAAAAGCCCCAGAAAAGCCCCCAAAAAAGCCCCAAAAAGCCAAAAAAAAGUUCCCAAACUCCCAAAAGCCCCAAAAAAAGCCCCAAAAGUCCCAAAAAAGCACCCCAAAAAGCCCCAAAAAAGUCAGAAAAAAGCCCCCAAAAAAGCCCCAAAAAGCCCCAGAAAAGCCCCAAAAAAAGCCCCAAAAAGCCAAAAAAAUGUUCCCAAACCCCCAAAAGCCCCCAAAAAAAGCCCCAAAAAAAAAAGCCCCAAAAAGCCAAAAAAAUGUUCCCAAACCCCCAAAAGCCCCCAAAAAAAGCCCCAAAAAAGUCCCCAAAAAGCCCCCCAAAAAGCCCCAAAAAAGUCAGCAAAAAGCCCCAAAAAAAGCCCAAAAAAGCCCCAAAAAAGCCCAAAAAAGCCCCCCAAAAAUCCCCAAAAGCCCCCAGAAAUCGGGAGCAGCGGGGACGGCAGCAGGCGGUGGCUGCUGA
This 1287-nucleotide long non-coding RNA is filed under the name Cyanistes caeruleus (blue tit). RNAcentral describes it as "lncRNA (ENSCCEG00000003137.1)". Lineage: Eukaryota; Metazoa; Chordata; Aves; Passeriformes; Paridae. The record is from RNAcentral.